UUAACUCUAAUUUGUAUGGAGUUGAAACGUUUGCCUGCGUUUGCCGCUAGGGGCGCUGUUCCAACUCCAUACAAAUUAGAGUUA
This 84-nucleotide microRNA precursor is filed under the name Bombyx mori (domestic silkworm). RNAcentral describes it as "mir-2807 microRNA precursor family". It matches the Rfam family "mir-2807 microRNA precursor family". Lineage: Eukaryota; Metazoa; Arthropoda; Insecta; Lepidoptera; Bombycidae. The record is from Rfam by way of RNAcentral.